AAAGAGGUCAACUAGGGUUCCGAUCUGUUGUUAACAGCACAGGUGACUGGUCCGAGAGUUGACGGCCUUUUCCAAGGCUACACGGCGGGACAAAAGCCCGGGAGAA
Marinobacter sp. BSs20148 is the source of this 106-nucleotide regulatory RNA element. It matches the Rfam family "Guanidine-I riboswitch aptamer". Rfam says of the family: This family represents a conserved RNA structure found upstream of the ykkC and yxkD genes in Bacillus subtilis and related genes in other bacteria. NCBI's taxonomy places the organism in Bacteria, Pseudomonadati, Pseudomonadota, Gammaproteobacteria, Pseudomonadales, Marinobacteraceae. The record is from Rfam.